RNAcentral lists this ribosomal RNA (549 nucleotides) under uncultured bacterium. Its description in RNAcentral is "bacterial SSU rRNA". It matches the Rfam family "Bacterial small subunit ribosomal RNA", at positions 567 to 1116 of the family's 1533-position model. The record is from RNAcentral.
GCACGCAGGCGGUUCGCUAAGUUCGAAGUGACAAUCAACGGCUUAACCGGUGAACGAUUUCGAAAACUGGUGGACUGGAGAGCGAGAGAGGGACAUGGAACUCCGGGUGGAGCAGUGAAAUGCGUAGAGAUCCGGAAGAACACCACUGGCGAAGGCAGUGUCCUGGCUCGUAUCUGACGCUGAGGUGCGAAAGCUAGGGGAGCGAACGGGAUUAGAUACCCCGGUAGUCCUAGCCGUAAACGAUGACCACUAGAUGUGGAAGGUAUCGACCCCUUCCGUGUCGUAGUUAACACGUUAAGUGGUCCGCCUGGGGAGUACGGUCGCAAGACUAAAACUCAAAGGAAUUGACGGGGACCCGCACAAGCAGCGGAGCGUGUGGUUUAAUUCGAUGCGACGCGAAGAACCUUACCAGGGUUUGACAUGUAGUCGCACCACCCUGAAAAGGGUGUUCCUUCGGGACGACUACACAGGUGCUGCAUGGCUGUCGUCAGCUCGUGCCGUGAGGUGUUGGGUUAAGUCCCGCAACGAGCGCAACCCUUAUCGUUAGUU